GACGGGGGGUGCAAGCGUUGUUCGGAAUCAUUGGGCGUAAAGCGUGUGCAGGUGGCUUUACAAGUCAGAUGUGAAAGCCCCGGGCUUAACCCGGGAAGUGCAUUUGAAACUGUAAAGCUUGAGUAUGGAAGAGGGUCGUGGAAUUCCUGGUGUAGUGGUGAAAUACGUAGAUAUCAGGAGGAACACCGGUGGCGAAGGCGGCGACCUGGUCCAAUACUGACACUCAUACACGAAAGCGUGGGGAGCAAACAGG
Molecule: ribosomal RNA, 253 nt
Filed under: uncultured bacterium
Lineage: Bacteria
Description: partial 16S ribosomal RNA
Rfam family: Bacterial small subunit ribosomal RNA
Source: RNAcentral